AUACGUAGGGGGCGAGCGUUGUCCGGAAUGAUUGGGCGUAAAGGGCGCGUGGGCGGCCCGGUAAGUCUGGAGUGAAAGUCCUGUUUUUAAGAUGGGAAUUGCUUUGGAUACUGUCGGGCUUGAGUGCAGGAGAGGUAAGUGGAAUUCCCAGUGUAGCGGUGAAAUGCGUAGAGAUUGGGAGGAACACCAGUGGCGAAGGCGACUUACUGGACUGUAACUGACGCUGAGGCGCGAAAGUGUGGGGAGCAAACAGGAUUAGAUACCCUGGUAGUCCACACUGUAAACGAUGAAUGCUAGGUGUAGGGGGUAUCGACCCCUUCUGUGCCGCAGUCAACACAAUAAGCAUUCCGCCUGGGGAGUACGGCCGCAAGGUUGAAACUCAAAUGAAUUGGCGGGG
This 397-nucleotide ribosomal RNA is filed under the name uncultured bacterium. RNAcentral describes it as "partial 16S ribosomal RNA". It matches the Rfam family "Bacterial small subunit ribosomal RNA", at positions 523 to 918 of the family's 1533-position model. The record is from RNAcentral.